This 175-nucleotide unclassified non-coding RNA is filed under the name uncultured Arachnopeziza. RNAcentral's name for it is "sequence contains ITS1". Lineage: Eukaryota; Fungi; Ascomycota; Leotiomycetes; Helotiales; Hyaloscyphaceae. The record is from RNAcentral.
GAAUGAGAACGCGGUGGGCGUAAUACCCCACUGUACCCUCCACCCUUGUGUAUCAUUCACUUGUUGCUUUGGUGGGCCGCAAGCCUUAACGGUGAGCACCGGCUUCGGCUGGAGAGUGCCUGCCAGAGGACCCAACUCUGUAAUAUUGUAACAUCUGAGUACUAUUAAAUAGUUA